CAGUAGACAGACAGGUAGGUACUGUAGGACAAGCCACCAGUAGACAGACAGGUAGGUAGUUUAGGACAAGCCACCAGUAGACAGACAGGUAGGUACUGUAGGACAAGCCACCAGUAGACAGACAGGUAGGUACUGUAGGACAAGCCACCAGUAGACAGACAGGUAGGUAUUAUAGGUCAAGCCACCAGUAGACAGACAGGUAGGUACUGUAGGACAAGCCACCAGUAGACAGACAGGUAGGUAUUAUAGGUCAAGCCACCAGUAGACAGACAGGUAGGUAUUAUAGGUCAAGCCACCAGUAGACAGACAGGUAGGUAUUAUAGGUCAAGCCACCAGUAGACAGACAGGUAGGUACUGUAGGACAAGCCACCAGUAGACAGACAGGUAGGUAUUAUAGGUCAAGCCACCAGUAGACAGACAGGUAGGUACUGUAGGACAAGCCACCAGUAGACAGACAGGUAGGUACUGUAGGACAAGCCACCAGUAGACAGACAGGUAGGUACUGUAGGACAAGCCACCAGUAGACAGACAGGUAGGUACUGUAGGACAAGCCACCAGUAGACAGACAGGUAGGUACUGUAGGACAAGCCACCAGUAGACAGACAGGUAGGUACUGUAGGACAAGCCACCAGUAGACAGACAGGUAGGUAUUAUAGGUCAAGCCACCAGUAGACAGACAGGUAGGUACUGUAGGACAAGCCACCAGUAGACAGACA
Molecule: long non-coding RNA, 716 nt
Organism: Oncorhynchus masou masou (cherry salmon)
Lineage: Eukaryota; Metazoa; Chordata; Actinopteri; Salmoniformes; Salmonidae
Exons: 4
Source: RefSeq, a predicted model, not a curated record